ACUCCAGGUUCCUGUCUGCAAGCACCUCUUGACCACAGGAGCAGUGUCUGGUUUGGCUACUGCAGACAGGAUGGAUCCCCAGUGUGGGAUCCUAUCUGAUAAAGUCAUUUCUCGCACAGUGAGAGGAGCAUUGGAUCAUCAGAGAUUCAUGUUCUGUAGUACCAGGAAGCAUUUGUGAACACCGAAAGACCAAUCAGGUGCCGAUCCGAUCCGAUACAAUCACACAAGAGUCUUUAUUCACAAGUUCAAACUCGGGCUUAAGUCAUGCUGACCCACAGGAUGGUUUCGGUGGAUAAAAGCCCCAAACACUCCUCAGGACAAGAUUUUAUAGGAAAUAUCAAGAGAAGGUAUUCCAUUACAGCAGCCAGAAUAUAGCACUUCAGAAACAAAGUACCAGAGAAACAAAUGGACAGCAAACAUCAAUUCUGAAAUACAUUGUCUCUGAUCUAUGCAGCUUGGAUAGUGAAUUUCUUUCCAUAAAUAGUUAAUAAGAUAUCAGCUCUAAUGACAAGAAUAAACUGUUAAACCAAUUCAUUUAGUGUUUUAUAGAUAGAAAACAACACAAAGACCCACAACUGGUCAAGGCAUAGAGAGAACAAGAGGCUAAGGAAUACUCAACACUAACUGGAACAUAUAUAUUCCAUCUCCUCCUCUUAAGGUUGAAAGAUCAUUGCAGAAUAA
RNAcentral lists this long non-coding RNA (681 nucleotides) under Mus musculus (house mouse). RNAcentral describes it as "RIKEN cDNA 1700108N06 gene". The record is from RNAcentral. Lineage: Eukaryota; Metazoa; Chordata; Mammalia; Rodentia; Muridae.